RNA transcript from Mus pahari (shrew mouse), 538 nucleotides. It is a transcript of the gene named glycine cleavage system H protein, mitochondrial pseudogene, with no coding region annotated. NCBI's taxonomy places the organism in Eukaryota, Metazoa, Chordata, Mammalia, Rodentia, Muridae. The record is from RefSeq and is a predicted model, not a curated record. The transcript has a single exon.
AUGUCGCUGCAAGUGUCGAGGAGCUUGCGGGUUGUGGCCUACAGCCUGCGCACUGCCCAGGCCUUCUGCUCGCCGGGGCCCUGGGCGCCGAGCGCCAACGUCGUCUGCUCACUGUGCACCGGAUCUGCUUUGCUGUAAAUUCACAGAGAAACAUGAAUGGAUAACAACAGAGGAAGGGAUUGGAACGGUGGGAAUCAGCGAUUUUGCACAGGAAGCGUUGGGAGAUGUUGUUUAUGGUAGUCUGCCUGAAGUUGGGACAAAACUUAAAAAACAAGAGGAGUUUGGCACUUUGGAGAGUGUGAAGGUGGCCAGUGAACUCUCCUCUCCUCUGUCAGGAGAGGUAACUGAAGUCAGUGAAGCACUUGCCGAAAACCCAGGGCUCAUCAACAAAUCCUGUUAUGAAGAUGGUUGGCUGAUCAAGAUGUCACUGAGUGACCCUUCAGAGCUGAAUGAAUUGAUGAGUGAAGAAGCAUAUGAGAAAUAUGUGAAGUCCAUCGAGGAGUGACCAUGGCACCCCUCCACUCCAGAUCAAACUGGA